GGAUUAGAUACCCUGGUAGUCCACGCUGUAAACGAUGAAUACUCGAUGUUGGGUCUAAUUAAGGAUUCAGCGUCUAAGCGAAAGCGUUAAGUAUUCCACCUGGGGAGUACGGCCGCAAGGUUAAAACUCAAAGGAAUUGACGGGGGCCCGCACAAGCGGAGGAGCAUGUGGUUUAAUUCGAUGAUACGCGAGGAACCUUACCUGGGCUAGAAUGUUAGUGACGAUAUCAGAAAUGGUAUUUUCCUUCGGGACACAAAACAAGGUGCUGCAUGGCUGUCGUCAGCUCGUGCCG
RNAcentral lists this ribosomal RNA (292 nucleotides) under uncultured bacterium. RNAcentral describes it as "partial 16S ribosomal RNA". It matches the Rfam family "Bacterial small subunit ribosomal RNA", at positions 775 to 1067 of the family's 1533-position model. The record is from RNAcentral.